Molecule: non-coding RNA, 95 nt
Filed under: unclassified sequences
Description: SAM-I-IV sequence
Rfam family: SAM-I/IV (S-adenosyl methionine) riboswitch aptamer
About the family: It is found upstream of a number of genes which code for proteins involved in methionine or cysteine biosynthesis.
Source: Rfam by way of RNAcentral
ACCUAGCAUCAAGAGAAGAGUUGUACUCUCUCCAACCUGCCCAAUCCGGCAAGGUGGAAAAAAUGAUGUGGCAUUCAGCAAAUAUAGGAGAUCGC